Molecule: small nuclear RNA, 111 nt
Organism: Pteronotus mesoamericanus
Lineage: Eukaryota; Metazoa; Chordata; Mammalia; Chiroptera; Mormoopidae
Source: RefSeq, a predicted model, not a curated record
GUGCCCCCUUCGGCAGCACACACACCAAAAUUGGGAUACAGAGAAGAUUAGCAUGGUCCCUGCACAGAGAUGACACGCAAAUUUGUAAAGCAUUCCAUUAAAAAAAAUUUU